RNAcentral lists this long non-coding RNA (1410 nucleotides) under Hordeum vulgare. RNAcentral's name for it is "long non-coding RNA (HVUL_LNC017738)". The record is from RNAcentral. Lineage: Eukaryota; Viridiplantae; Streptophyta; Magnoliopsida; Poales; Poaceae.
GUACCAAUGGGCAUGCACCCCCAGCUGUUAUGCGACAGCACAUAACGGUUGGUGUUGCACGUGCAUUGAUAAGCCAACAAUCGAUAGGUCCAGUGAGGAGACAUACAUCUGUGGCAUGCCCAGUGGCAUAGGCAUGAAUGGGUGGUCGAGGGACUUGGAGGUGAGGCCAGUAACAUGGCUAAGGUCCUCCUUUAGCCGGGCGUUCUCCAUGCGCAGCUUCUGCUCGUCAAAGUAGUCCUUGACAACGGGUGGGCCAUUAUAGUUGAGGCAGAUGAAGUUCUUGAGUGCCUCGCACAUGUCGAUGUUUUGCCACCGGAUCUUGUUUCUCUCCACGUGGAGAAAGCAGCAGUCCUGCCACUCGUGUUGCCCUGCCAUGCGAACACAACAAACACCGGGCAUCCAGAUUCCAUUAUGUUUAGGAACUAGUUGAAAACGAGACUNNNNNNNNNNUGACGCGCCAGAUUCAAACGCUUGUGACAUGAUAAUACUCUUAAUCCUAUACUCCAUUUCUUCCUGCCUUAAUUUUCUACUUUCUCAUAAUAAUCUUAUACCGCCGAUGAUUGAUAUAGAAAUAAUGGUGUAUUUGUCUUUGUAGGUCAUUCAACGAAUGUCCCCACCCCACCAAUGAGAUGCAACGCCCCGAUCUCAGUCGUGACCACGGUCUAGAGGCCCGUCAAAUUAAGUUUUGGUUCCAGAACCAGUGGAUGUAGGUGAAUGUCUCUGCUAAGAACAAUCUCUUGAUUGUCCAAAGUUUCUAUAUUUUUUCAACGAUCUGGUUUUCAACUGUUUCCUAAAUGGAAUGAAAUUUGGUUGUAUGCUAUUUGUUGUGGGUGACAUAGGAGGCGCAACAUGAGGGGUAGGACAACCGCUUCCUUCACGUGGAGAACCACAAGAUCCUGUGCCAGAACAUCGCCUUGCGCAAGAUGCUCAGGAACGUCAUCUUCCCCAACUAUGGUGGGUCACCCCUCGUCGAGGACGACUUCGACGAGAAAAAGCUACUCAUGGAGAAACCUCGUCUCAAGGAUGAGCUCGACCGCGUCCCCAUACGCACCUACCAGUCCCUCGACCGCCCGUUCGUGCAGAUAUCAUAGGGUGGGCCACAAAUGUUUGUCUCCCCGCUAGACGUGUCCAUGGGUGGCUAAUCGAUGUAUUGUGUACCAAUGGGCAGGCACCCCCGAGCUGUUAUGCGGCAGCACAUAAUGGUUGGUGGUGCACGUGCAUUGAUAAGCCAACAAUCGAUAGGUCCAGCGAGGAGACAGACAUCUGUGACGUGCCCAGUGGCAUAGGCAUGAAUGGGUGGUCGAGGGACUUGGAGGUGAGGCCAGUAACGCGGCUGAGGUCCUCCUUGAGUCGGGCAUUCUGCAUGCGCAGCUUCUGCUCGUCAAAGUAGUCCUUGACAACGGGUGGGCC